This is a long non-coding RNA of Odontomachus brunneus, 1414 nucleotides long. RefSeq lists it as uncharacterized. The record is from RefSeq and is a predicted model, not a curated record. The transcript has 2 exons. NCBI's taxonomy places the organism in Eukaryota, Metazoa, Arthropoda, Insecta, Hymenoptera, Formicidae.
AGAGAGAGAGAGAGAGAGAGAGAGAGAUUGACGUUAUCUGUGAAACUCGUUGAUUGUGAAGCAUCUUCCACAUGUCAUUGUUACGCGUUGCAAAAUAGUGCCUAAAAAAUUCGCUCGUCUACCUCUGUCUCUCGCAUUUUCCUCUGUUCUCUAGCCCGUGCAUUUGCGCGUUGCUUACUUUAUGUUUUACGAAGCUUUACGGCGAGCUCGCGGUCGCCGCUGCCGCUCUCUCGUGCCUCUUAUCUACUUCGUCGAAUAACUAAUUCCGUCGUACGGUUCGCCAACUUUCGCGACUCGAAUAUUCGCGAGAGUCGUCGUACGAUAACGUCGUCACGUGGAUAGGACGGAAAAGAGCCCGCCUCGCGUUCUUACAGACGACACUUUCAAUUUAGCGUCUGUUUUUUCAAGGGUUCGACUCCCGCCUUGCGAAAACACUCGACGGAACGCGUCACCACCCACCCCUGGCGGCCGUCAACUUUCCACCUCUGUCGGAGAGUCGCGCUCCUCUAUCCAGGUUCUACAAAUACCUCGGAUCGUCCGGAUACUCCACUUUUCGUCAAUUAAAUCGAUCCCGACGCGGAGCCCCGACAUCAAGAUCGAGUUGGCCGCGAAUUUGGCAAAUCAUCGCGAAAGAGAUCAAUGCAGCUGACGAAAAUAUUAACUGGUUUCGAUAAAUGCGACGCGCGAAACACGGGGGCACCCCAGAUAAAAACGCCGACUUACGAAAUUUCCAUUAAAUCCAUAUAGUCGGAUGCAUUAAUUGACUGUCAAGAUGACACGUUGUCAUUAAUAAAUUACACUAUUUUACAAGGUUUUGUAGCACUUGGAGUAUUUGGAGCACUGUUUCUUGAGUGAUUUCCAACGCUGAGCGAAUCUUUCUGCCAUCGAAAUAUUUUCAUCAGGCCCUCUCUCUUCGAGAGAGAUGUACGAAAAGUCACUUUUACGAUAUACUGCGAAUUUUUAUCAUAAAUAUAGAAAACAAAUUGUUGAGUAUUAAAUUGUUUUUCUUUUUCAUAUAACAUCUUGGAUCGCUUUCGCAUAUUGGCGCAUACAGCAGCAGCCGGCUAGCAUAUUUUCCCGAUAUCAUCCCAAUAUCACUAUCGUGAUUUGCAGGUAUACCAAACAUAAGGCAAAUAAACUUUCUCGUCCAUUUACGCCAAAUGGCUCUGCAACUAACAACGCAAAAAACAAACGCAGUGCCCAUUGUUUAUCUUGGUUUACCGAUCGCGAAACCAAAGUAAUAUAAAUACACGAAUUUCAGCGAUCCUAUGAUUAUGCAACUCCUUCUUCCAACAAUAUAUUGCCUACAAAUACAACAGUUUGGAUCAGUUUUACACUCUUUUUUUUUAUGCGAUAAUAUUAAAAAAAAAAAAAAAACACAUUCGCACGGUAUUUUCCUAGACAAAUGGUGAUA